AAAGAAAGACCUAACUUGUAGGUUAAAACUACGUGUGUAAAACAAUCUAACUUGAUAUAUGCUCGCGUUCUUAAAAGCAUACACAUUUAUUUAUAUAUCAAUAUAUAAAGCAGUAAACUCAUUACCUGUAGAAUAUUAUUCUACUGGGUUACAUGCUCCCCCUACUAAAUAUCUCAUGUCCCCAUGAGAUUACUUUUUACACUUUAAAAGUGACUUUAGGCUCAGUAUAAGCAUUUACUUGAGCACAAUAUUUACACUGUGCCAUAGGGUGACACCACAGGGUGUUACAGGGUUUCAUUUCUGCCUCUUUCCCACCCUCUACAUGUAUCACCAUACCUCUAUGGACCAGUGUCAAAGGUCGGUUAGUGGGCCGGCCUAGGCUAUCAUAGCUCAGUCUGACAACUGGUCUUAUGUUUCUUUUGGGGCGGGAAUGAACAGUCUCUAAUGCUUCUUUAGCAUUAGCUAUGCCAGGCUCUCCCCAUUCUAAACCAGGAUCUCCCAUUUCCUCAAGAAUCUGAUCUGAGAGUUUUUCAUAGCUUUCUUCAGUGAACAUUGGCUCUGCCAUUUCUGCAAGAGAUCUAUCCAGUUCACCUCCAGGGUAAGCAGUUUCCUCCUCCACUGCAUUUUCUUCCAGUGCAACAUGCGGUGUCUCAACCCUGUCCGGGCAGUAAUACCACAGGUUAUCCUCUUCACUUUCAGAGUCAGAGUCAUUCCUCACAGCUGCAUUUCUUUCUCUUAAUCCUCUUCUCUGUUUUCUUUCCACAGAUCUUGUCCUUGUCUCCGGUGGUGCAGAAACUUUCUUUGGUUCCCCAGUAUCAGCCAACCUCACAUGGUCUCCAACAGGAACUCAGAUGUGACUUGCCAGAGGGAGAUCCCGGACGAGCCCCCCACUUUGUGUAGCGCCCCCUACCUGUCUUUAUGUUGAUUAAAUAGGGCAGCGCACCAGAUUCAUUAACUAUGUGCCUACAGAUGUUGAAGUUAGGCCCCUCUGGUGUCACAAAUUAUUUACUUCUCCUUUAGAAGUUAUUAAUAAUUAUGUACUAUACUCAAAUGUAAUAUAUAUAAUAUAUUAUCUAUAUACUAUAAUAAAUAGUCAAGCACAAACUCUUAGAUAAGUAACAAAAUAUAAAGAAUUUAAUUAGAACAGAAGCAGAAAGUCAAAGAUAGAAUUUGAAUGCUGUGAUGUAUUCACACAAUCACAUAGACUUUAGAUCUGACCAAAUUAACCCCCCAAAAAAAGCUAUAUCUCAGGGGACAGGAGUACAGGAAUGGUCUCUGUAACAAAACACUCAGAAUUAAAGGAACGAGUGACUUCACUUGAAAUGAAAUGUACAAACUUAUUCACUCUGGAUGUCAGAAAUCACUUGGAAUAUUCACAGUUAAUAAGCACGCUGAAUAAACACAAUAUGAAAGAAAAUUAAACUUUGUGGGCCCACAUACACAAACAUAAACAUACACACACACCGUUGCAGGCCUGGAUCGUAGCUUGUGUUCGUGGUGGCGGGAAACUGACAAAUGGCCCCUUCACUCUCCUGAGCACAAACAAAAUCAACACUGGUACCUCAAUUUGAUGUGUGAAGCAAACCGCGAUCCUGGACUCCUGUAUUAGGCCUCCCGCAGCUCCUCGGUCUUGCUCUCUCGCCCGCCGAGGAAACGCUCCUCCCACGCAGCCAGAGGAACCCCAAAUAUCGCGGGUAUUUGGGGCGCUAUCUGGUCCUCAAUUUCCCCUGCGUCGUGCAGGAAACAACACUGCUUCACGGAUCAAUCGGUUCUGUGUAAAUGUUCCGCUAAUUUAACAGUCCGGUUCAGAUGAAUGACGUGUAACUGUUACUGGAUAUUAACGAACAGUCCGUGCGCGUGACUGACGAUUAAAGAUAACGGAAUGUCGUAUAAACACUCACAGCGAACU
Long non-coding RNA from Cyprinus carpio carpio, 1909 nucleotides. The record is from Ensembl. Lineage: Eukaryota; Metazoa; Chordata; Actinopteri; Cypriniformes; Cyprinidae.